GAGGUACAUGACUUUCUUUUACUCAUGUUCCUCGUGUUUUAUUCACAGUUACUUUCAUUGUCCAAUGUUUCAACAUCAGGACUUAAUGGAAGUAUUAUUGAUGAUUCAGCCACAGGUGGAAAAUGUGAAACUGUAGUAUUUUCAGCGGUGGGUUCUUCAAUACCAUAAUCAAUGUGUGUUGAGACUAAUGGUGAUUCAUUUGUUGAUCCUAAAGUUAAGGCCUUAUCCGUAACUGAUAUUAUCUCAACAUCAAGUUCAGCAGUUGGGCUUUUAGUAAUCGUUGCUGUUUCGGAAAGCAAUGAGGCACUAGUAGCCUUCCGUUUAAUCCAAGUAAGUAACGAUGACUGGCUCAUCUUCAAAUGCUGAAAAAUAAAAAAUAAAGAAAAGUGUGGUAUAAGUAAAAAGAAAUCAAGUGAAUAACUAAUAUUUUAAUUACUUCAUGAAAUCAAACCGUAUAUUGUAAUAAAUACAGAGAGAUGGCACUGGCUAGCUGUUCUAUGCUGCAGUGUUCUAUUACGCUAGGGCUUUCGAGUUUCGACUUUUGACGUUUCGAGUUCGACUGAAUUGUUUUUCUUGUCGUCUGCAACUUUGCAUGCAUCUAUGUUUGUAAAGGCAGGCAGCGCCAGAGCUGGCAAUCAUUUUUUAACGAGUAUUUUUAAAAAACCGCUGCUGAGCAGCCAGUACGCCCCAGAGUGAUUUUCGAACAAGCCAGACAAGAGUAGGUUUCCCUUCUAACCUUGGUACGCUAUAGUAUUUCAAACUAUUUUUUUCUUACAUUCAUAGACAUCCAAAUUCCGUAAUUGGGUUUGGUCCCAAUUUAGAAAGAGCUAUAUAACGAGCAAGGCGUCGUCUGCAGCCGGCGAUUCCGCAUUCGUUUGAUGAAGCAGAGCGAACUAUAACAGGCUCUGAUAUGUACAGAAAAACACUCAACCAAUCAGCAGAUUUCUUUCAUGGAAGUGUGUCGACCGACUCUGGGAAUGCUUUUAUUUUCACCUCGCUGGCUCUACUGCCUGAAAUUCACACAACGAGAGAAAUCCGAUCAGAUGGAACUUUUAAAACGGUUCCCAACCUGUUUUUAUGAACUUUUCACGCUUCACGUUUUGGCGUAUGGGAAGUCUUUUCCUGUUUCAUACGCGUUGAUUUCCAACAAAACAGCUGAACUCUAUCGUAUGGCUAUCGAUCGCAUACUGCAGAUUCUUCAAGAGGUCAACCCUGGGGAUCACUUUGAAGUAGAAGUAUUAAUUUCCGACUUCAAAUUAGCAAUCAUGGGUACGAUGCAACAAGCUUUUCCAAUUGCAAGAAGCCGUGGCUGUUGGUUUCACUAUGGGCAGAGCCUACAAAGAAGGACUUCAAAGGGCCUAUAGAUCAGGUGGGGUUAUAAGGAGUAUCGUGAAGAAGCUAAUUUCCCUCGCAUUGGUACCGUCAAAUCGAGGCUACGAAGGAUUUCAG
Daphnia magna is the source of this 1449-nucleotide long non-coding RNA. RefSeq lists it as uncharacterized. NCBI's taxonomy places the organism in Eukaryota, Metazoa, Arthropoda, Branchiopoda, Diplostraca, Daphniidae. The transcript has 4 exons. The record is from RefSeq and is a predicted model, not a curated record.